This 528-nucleotide ribosomal RNA is filed under the name Triticum aestivum (bread wheat). RNAcentral's name for it is "partial small subunit ribosomal RNA". The record is from RNAcentral. Lineage: Eukaryota; Viridiplantae; Streptophyta; Magnoliopsida; Poales; Poaceae.
AUGGUCCUCCAUUUCGUCAACCAACAACUCCAGCACCUUUCGAGCAAAGAUGAGUUUGAUGACAUAGACAAGCUCACACUUUUGAGUCUCGAGUUCACUUGGAGUGCCGAGGAUGAUCCUAUUAGGAAGGUUAUACUAGAGGAAAUGAAGAAGAUUAAGAGUGGAAAGGAGCUAGUGGAAGAAGUAAGGAAGAUUGAGAAGAACAUCAAUGCUGGCAGCACUAUUUCUUCACAACUUGAGUUGAGUGUGGCUGAGAUAUCCAUGGAUACAUGUGAGGUUCCAACACCUUCACAUUUCGUUGAGCAAGUUAGCAAGUGCCUUGAGCAAGAGAUACCUCAGAUUGAAGAAGAUGAACUAGAAGACAAGGAACAAGAUGGUCAAGAGCUGCAAUUCCCAAGUGAUCAAGUUGAAGACUCAUCAUCUAUUACUCCUGAAGAAGUACAAGAAGCUGCUGUAGAUGAAGAUGAAGAACAUGAGAUUCAUUUGCCUAUUGUCAUACCAGAGUGUGAUGUGUCAGGUUCGAGGUGA